UAGCAAUACGGCAGCGGCAGACGGGAGAGUAACACGUGGGAACGCGCCCUUCGGUUCGGGAUAGCUCAGGGAAACUUGGGCUAAUACCGGAUACGCCCUUGCGGGGAAAGAUUUAUUGCCGAAGGAACGGCCCGCGUCCGAUUAGCUUGUUGGUGAGGUAACGGCUCACCAAGGCGACGAUCGGUAGCUGGUCUGAGAGGAUGACCAGCCUCACUGGGACUGAGACACGGCCCAGACUCCUACGGGAGGCAGCAGUGGGGAAUAUUGCACAAUGGGCGGAAGCCUGAUGCAGCGACGCCGCGUGAGGGAUGACGGCCUUCGGG
This 323-nucleotide ribosomal RNA is filed under the name uncultured bacterium. RNAcentral describes it as "bacterial SSU rRNA". It matches the Rfam family "Bacterial small subunit ribosomal RNA", at positions 81 to 422 of the family's 1533-position model. The record is from RNAcentral.